Molecule: ribosomal RNA, 467 nt
Filed under: uncultured bacterium
Lineage: Bacteria
Description: partial 16S ribosomal RNA
Rfam family: Bacterial small subunit ribosomal RNA
Source: RNAcentral
GACGAACGCUGGCGGCGUGCUUAACACAUGCAAGUCGAACGGAAAGGCCCUGCUUUUGUGGGGUGCUCGAGUGGCGAACGGGUGAGUAACACGUGAGUAACCUGCCCUUGACUUUGGGAUAACUUCAGGAAACUGGGGCUAAUACCGGAUAGGAGCUCCUGCUGCAUGGUGGGGGUUGGAAAGUUUCGGCGGUUGGGGAUGGACUCGCGGCUUAUCAGCUUGUUGGUGGGUAGUGGCUUACCAAGGCUUUGACGGGUAGCCGGCCUGAGAGGGUGACCGGCCACCUUGGGACUGAGAUACGGCCCAGACUCCUACGGGAGGCAGCAGUGGGGAAUAUUGCACAAUGGGCGGAAGCCUGAUGCAGCAACGCCGCGUGCGGGAUGACGGCCUUCGGGUUGUAAACCGCUUUCGCCUGUGACGAAGCGUGAGUGACGGUAAUGGGUAAAGAAGCACCGGCUAACUACGUG